This 445-nucleotide ribosomal RNA is filed under the name uncultured Thermovenabulum sp. RNAcentral's name for it is "bacterial SSU rRNA". It matches the Rfam family "Bacterial small subunit ribosomal RNA", at positions 8 to 489 of the family's 1533-position model. The record is from RNAcentral. Lineage: Bacteria; Bacillati; Bacillota; Clostridia; Thermosediminibacterales; Thermosediminibacteraceae.
AGAGUUUGAUCAUGGCUCAGGAUGAACGCUGGCGGCGUGCUUAACACAUGCAAGUCGAACGGGCUAGUUUAGGCUAGCUAGUGGCAAACGGGUGCGUAACACGUAGGUAACCUACCCAGAAGGCGGGGACAACUGUUGGAAACGACAGCUAACACCCGAUAUGCUCGAGAGAGUAAACAGCGCAAGCUACUUCUGGAGGGGCCUGCGGCCUAUCAGGUAGUUGGUGAGGUAACGGCUCACCAAGCCGUCGACGGGUAGGGGGCGUGAGAGCGUGGCCCCCCACACGGGGACUGAGACACGGCCCCGACUCCUACGGGAGGCAGCAGUGAGGGAUAUUGGGCAAUGGGGGCAACCCUGACCCAGCGACGCCGCGUGGAGGACGAAGGGCUUCGGCCUGUAAACUCCUUUUCCCAGGGACGAGACAAGGACGGUACCUGGGAAUAUU